RNAcentral lists this long non-coding RNA (1173 nucleotides) under Cairina moschata (Muscovy duck). RNAcentral's name for it is "domestica (muscovy Duck (domestic type)) lncRNA (ENSCMMG00000014235.1)". The record is from RNAcentral. Lineage: Eukaryota; Metazoa; Chordata; Aves; Anseriformes; Anatidae.
GCAUCUUAGAGCAAGACAAACUAAACCAAAGCAACCAAAAAAAAAACCAACAACCUGUGCUAUUUUGUGUUUAGGUGGGUGACAAAUUCCCUCCCAGAAACCUGCACACCUGGAUGUAGACAAAUAAAGAAAGUCUUGAGCAAACUAAAAGGGAAUACCUCCAUACUCUAGAAAAUAUGUUUAGGAAAAGGAGAUUUUUAUCUUGUGCCCCUUGUUUUAGGUUAGAGUUGAAUAAGUACCUUCAUUCUAGAUACACGGGGUUCCUGUAAGUGACAGAGCAAAAAAUAUUGCAGCAAAAAAAAAAAAAAAACCAACCCUUGAAUUCCAAAAAUACCGUCUCCUUUCAAAGUAAGAUUUAUAUGCAAGAAGACAAUCUCUCUUACAGAGUUUUUCCUGUCUCUCAGAGUCUACUCACUGGAAACAAGCAGCCGAUUUAAAAAGAUAUUGGAAGAACAGCUUGGACACAGAGAAAGGAAUGACCUGGAGUCUUAAAAAACAGACAAGCUUUUCAGUAGCUUGGCACUUGGAACAAGAAGCUAAAAGUCACAUAAGAGUGACCAGUAUCCUGUCAGGGAGGUCAACAGAAGUUUAGCUGCUGACUCGGUGAACAGGACUGCAACCUGUAUCUGUGAUUAGUGAUGAAAUGAAACCCACGGCUUGAAAUCAUUUAUCCAGCGUAUCCGAUCAAACACAAACAUCCUCUGCACUUGGAAAUAAAUGAGGGUUGGAGCCAGCUCGCCUCUGCAGAGUUGCAUGUGAAGAUAAGGGACCUGUGAGACGAAAGGAGAAAGCUGAUGGAACAGCUGGCAAGGUCUGCCCACCGUGAGAUGCAGUAACAUCAGAAACAAUCCGUGUGGUUCCUCAGCACCCCUGUGGCACCUGCAGCUGCCAGGAAGGAGGGUCCUCAUGCUCAGGCAGCCCCACCAAAUGGCAACAGCCCCUCCAGUUUUGUUCUACUCCUCCGUUUCACAGCAGCUGUGUCCGACGUGUCGGUGCUAAAGCAGAAGCUGAGGAUCUUUCCUUCUCCCUUUUUCACCCUCGCUCACUCUCACUGCCUUGUAACCACGAACAGUGAGUAAAAAUAUUCAUGUUUCAGUCCAGUACCUUUUUGCACGCCUCACACUAGAGGUUUUUUUCCAUUCCCCUGGGGUUGGGCAGGCCUCGAUUAUCACU